GCCAGAGUGGUGUAGUGGUUUGAGUGUUAGACUAUGCCUCUGGAGAUCAGGGUUUGAAUCCUGGCUCAGCCA
Molecule: non-coding RNA, 72 nt
Organism: Phrynosoma platyrhinos (Desert horned lizard)
Lineage: Eukaryota; Metazoa; Chordata; Lepidosauria; Squamata; Phrynosomatidae
Source: the annotation of a GenBank genome assembly